Molecule: ribosomal RNA, 450 nt
Filed under: uncultured Glomus
Lineage: Eukaryota; Fungi; Glomeromycota; Glomeromycetes; Glomerales; Glomeraceae
Description: SSU rRNA
Rfam family: Eukaryotic small subunit ribosomal RNA
Source: RNAcentral
AGCAGCCGCGGUAAUUCCAGCUCCAAUAGCGUAUAUUAAAGUUGUUGCAGUUAAAAAGCUCGUAGUUGAAUUUCGGGAUCAAUGUUUCGGUCAUGCCGUUGGUAUGUACUGAUAUUAUUGAUUUCUCACCUUCUAAAGAACCGUAAUGCCAUUAAUUUGGUGUCACGGGGAAUUAGGACUGUUACCUUGAAAAAUUAGAGUGUUUAAAGCAGGCUCACGCUUGAAUACAUUAGCAUGGAAUAAUGAAAUAGGACGUUCGAUCCUAUUUUGUUGGUUUCUAGGAUUGACGUAAUGAUUAAUAGGGAUAGUUGGGGGCAUUAGUAUUCAAUUGUCAGAGGUGAAAUUCUUGGAUUUAUUGAAGACUAACUACUGCGAAAGCAUUUGCCAAGGAUGUUUUCAUUAAUCAAGAACGAAAGUUAGGGGAUCGAAGACGAUCAGAUACCGUCGUAG